RNAcentral lists this ribosomal RNA (260 nucleotides) under uncultured bacterium. Its description in RNAcentral is "partial small subunit ribosomal RNA". It matches the Rfam family "Bacterial small subunit ribosomal RNA", at positions 26 to 288 of the family's 1533-position model. The record is from RNAcentral.
AGGACGAACGCUGGCGGCGUGCUUCAUACAUGCAAGUCGAGCGGAAAGGCCCUUCGGGGUACUCGAGCGGCGAACGGGUGAGUAACGCGUGAGCAACCUGCCCUUGGCUCUGGGAUAACCCCUCGAAAAGAGGUGCUAAUACCGGAUACGACUUCCUUCGACAUCGUCGGAAGUGGAAAGUUUUUUCGGCCAAGGAUGGGCUCGCGGCCUAUCAGCUUGUUGGUGAGGGUAACGGCCCACCAAGGCUUCGACGGGUAGCC